AUUGAACGCUGGCGGCAUGCCUUACACAUGCAAGUCGAACGGUAACGCGGGGCAACCUGGCGACGAGUGGCGAACGGGUGAGUAAUGUAUCGGAACGUGCCCAGUUGUGGGGGAUAGCUGCCCGAAAGAGCAGCUAAUACCGCAUACGACCUGAGGGUGAAAGCCGGGGAUCGCAAGACCUCGCGCAAUUGGAGCGGCCGAUAUCAGAUUAGGUAGUUGGGGAGGUAAAGGCUAACCAAGCCGACGAUAUGUAGCUGGUCUGAGAGGACAACCAGCCACACUGGGACUGAGACACGGCCCAGACGCCUACGGGAGGCAGCAGUGGGGAAUGUUGGACAAUGGACGCAAGUCUGAUCCAGCCAUGCCGCGUGCGGGAAGAAGGCCUUCGGGUUGUAAACCGCUUUUGUCAGGGAAGAAAAGGCUCCUUCUAAUAUAGGGGGCUCAUGACGGUACCUGAAGAAUAAGCACCGGCUAACUACGUGCCAGCAGCCGCCGUAA
This 498-nucleotide ribosomal RNA is filed under the name uncultured bacterium. RNAcentral's name for it is "partial 16S ribosomal RNA". It matches the Rfam family "Bacterial small subunit ribosomal RNA", at positions 29 to 523 of the family's 1533-position model. The record is from RNAcentral.